This 253-nucleotide ribosomal RNA is filed under the name uncultured bacterium. Its description in RNAcentral is "partial 16S ribosomal RNA". It matches the Rfam family "Bacterial small subunit ribosomal RNA", at positions 524 to 776 of the family's 1533-position model. The record is from RNAcentral.
UACGAAGGGGGCUAGCGUUGUUCGGAAUUACUGGGCGUAAAGCGCACGUAGGCGGGUUCUUAAGUCGGUGGUGAAAUCCUGGAGCUCAACUCCAGAACUGCCUUCGAAACUGGGAAUCUUGAAUCCGGGAGAGGUGAGUGGAAUUCCGAGUGUAGAGGUGAAAUUCGUAGAUAUUCGGAAGAACACCAGUGGCGAAGGCGGCUCACUGGACCGGUAUUGACGCUGAGGUGCGAAAGCGUGGGGAGCAAACAGG